Molecule: unclassified non-coding RNA, 332 nt
Filed under: soil metagenome
Description: partial contains 5.8S ribosomal RNA, internal transcribed spacer 2, and large subunit ribosomal RNA
Rfam family: 5.8S ribosomal RNA (bases 1-120)
Source: RNAcentral
GAUGAAGAACGUAGCGAAAUGCGAUAAGUAGUGUGAAUUGCAGAAUUCAGUGAAUCAUCGAAUCUUUGAACGCACAUUGCGCCCUUUGGUAUUCCUUAGGGCAUGCCUGUUCGAGCGUCAUUUAAACCUUCAAGCUAAGCUUGGUGUUGGGUGACUGUCCGCUUCACUGCGGACUCGCCUCAAAAUUAUUGGCGGCCGGUACAUUGGCUUCGAGCGCAGCAGAAACGCGAACUCGGGCCCGUCGUAUUGGCUCCCAGAAGCUAUCUUCACAAUUUUGACCUCGGAUCAGGUAGGGACACCCGCUGAACUUAAGCAUAUCAAUCAGCGGAGGA